ACGGAGGGUGCAAGCGUUGUUCGGAAUCACUGGGCGUAAAGGGCGCGCAGGCGGCUUGAUAAGUCAGAUGUGAAAGCCCAUGGCUUAACUGUGGAAGGGCAUUUGAAACUGUCAGACUUGAGUAUCAGAGGGGAAAGUGGAAUUCCCGGUGUAGGAGUGAAAUUCGGAGAUAUCUGGAGGAAUACCGGUGGCGAAGGCGACUUUCCGGCUGAAUACUGACACUGAGGCGCGAAAGCGUGGGGAGCAAACAG
Molecule: ribosomal RNA, 251 nt
Filed under: uncultured prokaryote
Description: partial 16S rRNA
Rfam family: Bacterial small subunit ribosomal RNA
Source: RNAcentral